This 343-nucleotide unclassified non-coding RNA is filed under the name soil metagenome. RNAcentral's name for it is "partial contains 5.8S ribosomal RNA, internal transcribed spacer 2, and large subunit ribosomal RNA". The stretch from base 1 to 120 matches the Rfam family "5.8S ribosomal RNA", at positions 35 to 154 of the family's 154-position model. The record is from RNAcentral.
GAUGAAGAACGUAGCGAAAUGCGAUAAGUAAUGUGAAUUGCAGAAUCCAGUGAAUCAUCGAAUCUUUGAACGCACAUUGCGCCCGCCAGCAUUCUGGCGGGCAUGCCUGUUCGAGCGUCAUUUCAACCCUCGACCUCCCCUUGGGGAGGACGGCGUUGGGGACCGGCAGCACACCGCCGGCCCUGAAAUGGAGUGGCGGCCCGUCUGCGGCGACCUCUGCGUAGUAAUACAGCUCGCACCGGAACCCCGACGCGGCCACGCCGUAAAACACCCAACUUCUGAACGUUGACCUCGAAUCAGGUAGGACUACCCGCUGAACUUAAGCAUAUCAAUAAGCGGAGGA